UUGGCGGACGGGUGAGAAACACGUGGGUAACCUGCCUCAAAGAGGGGGAUAGCCUUCCGAAAGGAAGAUUAAUACCGCAUAAGCUUACAGCAUCGCAUGAUGCCGUAAGAAAAGGAGUAAUCCGCUUUGAGAUGGACCCGCGGCGCAUUAGCUAGUUGGUGAGGUAACGGCUCACCAAGGCCACGAUGCGUAGCCGACCUGAGAGGGUGAUCGGCCACAUUGGAACUGAGACACGGUCCAGACUCCUACGGGAGGCAGCAGUGGGGAAUAUUGCACAAUGGGCGAAAGCCUGAUGCAGCAACGCCGCGUGAGUGAUGAAGGCUUUCGAGUCGUAAAGCUCUUUGAUCAGGGAUGAUGAUGACAGUACCUGAAAAACAAGCCACGGCUAACUACGUGCCAGCAGCCGCGGUAAU
This 413-nucleotide ribosomal RNA is filed under the name uncultured Clostridium sp. Its description in RNAcentral is "bacterial SSU rRNA". It matches the Rfam family "Bacterial small subunit ribosomal RNA", at positions 95 to 524 of the family's 1533-position model. The record is from RNAcentral. Lineage: Bacteria; Bacillati; Bacillota; Clostridia; Eubacteriales; Clostridiaceae.